This 111-nucleotide transfer RNA is filed under the name Dendryphion nanum. It matches the Rfam family "tRNA". From Rfam's summary of the family: Transfer RNA (tRNA) molecules are approximately 80 nucleotides in length. The record is from Rfam by way of RNAcentral. Lineage: Eukaryota; Fungi; Ascomycota; Dothideomycetes; Pleosporales; Torulaceae.
GCCUGGUUAGCUCAAUCGGUAGAGCGUGAGACUCUUAGUAUUCACGGUCCUUCAAAACGAUUGAAAUACAAAGCAAUCUCAAGGUUGCGGGUUCGACCCCCGCAUCGGGCU